GCGCAGCUGGGCGGCGAGGGCCGCCCGGUCGGCGGCCGGGUGGGUCAGGCUGGUUCCGCCCAGCGCGGCGGC
This 72-nucleotide transfer RNA is filed under the name Actinoplanes digitatis. Its description in RNAcentral is "tRNA-Ala". Lineage: Bacteria; Bacillati; Actinomycetota; Actinomycetes; Micromonosporales; Micromonosporaceae. The record is from RNAcentral.